ACUAAAGUCUUCGACUGCCUUUCCCUUAAAGAUUCCGCCUUUAAAGAAAGCAAAAUGGAUUGAAUAUUUCUGGUUUGAAAAAGAGGCGGAGAGGAAGAAAAGGACCAGUGCAGUGAAGAAAAUCUUGAGAAUUUCUACUGAAUGCCUGCCUGCGAUGCUCUUUCCAUCUCUGGAAUUGUGUCCUACCUACGUACAAAGCCAUUACGUAGAGGGUUUAAAGAGUCUUUGAUGGGGAGGUGUGUCUGUGAGGCGCAAGAUGAUGGGAUGGUGAUGAGAUGUGAUCCACCAAAAAGGUAAAAAAUAUUAAAUUUACUGACAACAAACUAUUUCACAUCUUGUUCCUUCUGGUCUCUUUCAUUGGCUUUAUAGAUCGAGAGGGUCUCUUAACUCUAAACUUAAAACAAAGGCUUUGCUUGGAAGGAACGUCUUCCUUGGUAAGUAAAAGGUGGUAAAGGGAAGUUCAAGGCGCUUAGGCAGGCGUGUUGCAGGCAGAUAUUACCACAUGCAUGUAUACAGACAAACACUUGGUGUAUGAGCAUGUCCAAAGAAUAUGACGCAUUCUAUACGGCAAUCGUACACUUGGUGACAUGUCGCUUUCCUCUCUGGUGUUUUUGUGUUCUGCUGUAGUUUGAUGCUGCUUCUGCUUGCAGUUGCAUUUGGGGGAGGGUGGAGAAGAAAAUCUAUCUCAUGUCACGUGACCGUCACGUGAAUAAAGUACUUUGAAACUCAAAUCA
Long non-coding RNA from Juglans microcarpa x Juglans regia, 734 nucleotides. RefSeq lists it as uncharacterized. The transcript is spliced from 2 exons. Lineage: Eukaryota; Viridiplantae; Streptophyta; Magnoliopsida; Fagales; Juglandaceae. The record is from RefSeq and is a predicted model, not a curated record.